RNAcentral lists this small RNA (28 nucleotides) under Bombyx mori (domestic silkworm). RNAcentral's name for it is "ovarian small RNA-23663". Lineage: Eukaryota; Metazoa; Arthropoda; Insecta; Lepidoptera; Bombycidae. The record is from RNAcentral.
UAUCGCCUUUUUGUCGAGUUUUGUACGC